AUAUAUAUAUAAAAUAACGAGUCAUUUUGGAACUGAAAUAAAUAUUUAUUUUCGUUGACUAGAAAGAAUAUACAUGUUCUGUCGUACAAAAGUGAAGCAGAAAGUACUCUCUCUGCAAUAUAUAUUUUAUGAUCUCUUAAUAAUGAAAUUUUGAUGCCUUUCGAAGCAUUAUGAUAGUGGGAGGUUAAUAUCGUGUCUCAAUCUACUAUAUAUGCAUAGAUAUAAUUAUGUGCUUUUGCAUUACAGGAUAUGCUCAAUAGGAUAUAGUUGAAGCUAUACCUUCUUGUGGCCAAGCUCCUGUGGUAAAAGGUGAAAGAUAUGACAUCUUUAUGUCCGAAAAUAAUUUGAGUUAGACCACAAUCAUAGACAUGUUCGUUCUUCAAUAAGCAUUAUCAUUAUUUUAUAGCUUGCAUGCCUCAAUUUGCUUUAUAUUAUAAUUGCUUGAACAAAACACUCAAUAGUGAAAGUGGACUGCUACAAAUAGAAAGGUUUACAAUUUAAGUCAUAAAGACAUUGCACAACUCUUUGCUCCUUGACUUGCUGCUUUACGAAACCAUAUUCAAUUAAUUCUAUAGUUUUGAAGAUAUUUUAAUGAUGGAGCUUCAUUUUUUUAAGUAUCCAACGCCAAACAUUGUUUAGAGGUGAUCGACUUUGACUAGAUCUCUUUCUGUAAUUGUUUUUUUGCAUUACUUUUUUCUGAAAUUAUGCAUUGUUCAAACAGUGGAGAAGCAAGCUUGAAUGUCAAUUAUCUUCAUUUUAUUAAGUCUCCAACGUCACAUAGAGGUAAUCAAAUUGCUUUUUUCUGAAAUUAUAUUGUUCAAAUAAUGAAAAAGCAAUCUUGGAUGUCAGAUAAAGAAUUUGAAAGAAACACACUAGAUUAAAUCCUAUGUGCAUUGUGAAAAUUUUAAAUUAAGCGCUAACAGAUCUAUAAUUUGGUUCAACAUAUAGGUGGAGAGGCUCAAAUUGUUCAUUUUGACUAAGUUUGAGAUCUACUGAGUCUAAUAUCAACAAGUCUGUGGCCUUCAUAUUGAAAACCUGAUAAAAGGUACACAUUCCGAAAUUGGAUUGAGUAUUGAUCAAGUAGGUUCUAUUGGCCAAUUAUUUAGAGAAAUGUAUGAAAAUUCUUAGAGUUUUGCUCAAUUCCAUUAACUGGAUAUGAUACUACAAAAUUAAAAUAAACCAACAACUUCUUUUAGAUUGAAAAAAAGGUUUUCACAUCUUAAUACUACCAAUUUUUUUUAGAAAAGGUUUUCACAUUAUCAUUUAGUAUUUUUUUAAUUGUUGAAAUUACUGUACUAUCAACAACAAACUGCUACGAGGUAAUUUUUAAAGCAUUCUUUGGAACAAAUAUAAAGUUGACACAAAAAAUCAUCGAUAUUCAACUGUAUAUUCUUACGCCAUUCAUAAUUUCUUAUCUUGGUACUCUGUUCUUUGAGAUCUAAAUUGAAAGUUCUUCAACAAGUUGCAAUUGUAAUGGUCUCUUUAAAUUUUAUUGAUCAUAAAAACUAUUCUAUUAAGACACAUGAUACAAUUUUAUCAAUUAAGAAAUUUGGUGUGCAUUUGGUCAGUAAUUACCAUUCUUAUCUCUCUAUAUCUUUAUUUAUUUUCAACUUGAAAGUACAUAUGAUGAGUUCAGAAAGUUAUGUAUUGUUGAAACUGUGACUAAUAAAGAAGAAGCUCAUUUAAUCAGAAUUUUCUCAAUUCAGGUAAUAUCUAAUGCUCUUUUUAUUGAUACUGGCUUCUUUGAAUAUACUAUCUUGGCAAAAUAUUUUAAAUUUUUUUAAUUAUUCCCAACAUUGUUCCAUGUGCCUUAACAUUUAUAACUUUGAAAGUUGCUUUUGUUGAUCUGCUAAUGGCAGCUGAAAGCGCUGCGCAAAAUCUAUUUUCCUUGCUAUAGAUUUAUCCAAAAAAAAGCAAAUGACUAAUGUGAGAGAGAAUAUUUGGAAGUUGCUGUUAAAGCUAGUUAAUGAUUAAAGCUAGCUAAGUUGGUGUGAAUGAGAAAUGGAGGGAAGAAGACAAUAGAAGGAAAAUGAAGUUUCAAAGCAAAN
RNAcentral lists this long non-coding RNA (2048 nucleotides) under Nicotiana benthamiana. RNAcentral's name for it is "long non-coding RNA (NBEN_LNC007801)". The record is from RNAcentral. Lineage: Eukaryota; Viridiplantae; Streptophyta; Magnoliopsida; Solanales; Solanaceae.